This 433-nucleotide ribosomal RNA is filed under the name uncultured bacterium. RNAcentral's name for it is "partial 16S ribosomal RNA". It matches the Rfam family "Bacterial small subunit ribosomal RNA", at positions 29 to 507 of the family's 1533-position model. The record is from RNAcentral.
AACGAACGCUGGCGGCAUGCCUAACACAUGCAAGUCGAACGAGACCUUCGGGUCUAGUGGCGCACGGGUGCGUAACGCGUGGGAACCUGCCCUUAGGUUCGGAAUAACUCCCCGAAAGGGGUGCUAAUACCGGAUAAUGUCUUCGGACCAAAGAUUUAUCGCCUUUGGAUGGGCCCGCGUUGGAUUAGCUAGUUGGUAGGGGAAAAGCCUACCAAGGCGAGGAUGCAUAGCUGGUCUGAGAGGAUGAUCAGCCACACUGGGAGUGAGACACGGCCCAGACUCCUACGGGAGGCAGCAGUGGGGAAUAUUGGACAAUGGGCGAAAGCCUGAUCCAGCAAUGCCGCGUGAGUGAUGAAGGCCUUAGGGUUGUAAAGCUCUUUUACCCGGGAUGAUAAUGACAGUACCGGGAGAAUAAGCACCGGCUAACUCCGUG